CCUGCCAGCUCUAGGCCCAAAUUUUAAUUUUUCGGGUGUUCCCGUGCCACGGAAGGUUUGAUUUUCAUGGCAGAUUGGAAGCAGCCGUGUGUGGCCAGAGUUUGCUCUGCAGAGGUUAAAGGUGCUGGGGACAGAAGCCCCCGGUGUUCCCAUGGGAUGUCCACUGCCGUAUUCCUUCGAGCCAGCUCCUUGGUCUGCACUGCCUGCAGUCCUGGCUGAGCACAAACCAUUCUGCUGUGGGCAGCAUCAAAGGCAGAUCCUGGCUGCAGUGCCAUAGCGUGACUGAUCUCCAGCUGGGGAGCGCUGCUUGCAGGACAGAGAAAGGACAGAGCGGAGCUGAACUGGACGUGAAGACUGCUCUUUGCUGCUUGGAAACUGCGUCCCCUGGGACUCUCUGACUGAACUUAACCUGCAUUGUGUGCUCUUUAUCGAGUGUAACUUCUGAUUAAUAAAAUAAAUUUAUUUAGUCUUUGGAGUUUGCCUCCAAAAAAGGCA
This is a non-coding RNA of Cyanistes caeruleus (blue tit), 495 nucleotides long. Lineage: Eukaryota; Metazoa; Chordata; Aves; Passeriformes; Paridae. The record is from RefSeq and is a predicted model, not a curated record.